UCCUACGGGAGGCAGCAGUGGGGAAUUUUGGACAAUGGGGGCAACCCUGAUCCAGCCAUGCCGCGUGAGUGAAGAAGGCCUUCGGGUUGUAAAGCUCUUUCAGCCGGAAAGAAAUCGUGCAACCUAAUACGUUGUAUGGAUGACGGUACCGGAAGAAGAAGCACCGGCUAAAUACGUGCCAGCAGCCGCGGUAAUACGUAGGGUGCGAGCGUUAAUCGGAAUUAUUGGGGGUAAAGCGUGCGCAGGCGGUUUUGUAAGACAGAUGUGAAAUCCCCGGGCUUAACCUGGGAAAUGCAUUUGUGACUGCAAGGCUAGAGUACGGCAGAGGGGGGUAGAAUUCCACGUGUAGCAGUGAAAAGCGUAGAUAUGUGGAGGAAUACCGAUGGCGAAGGCAGCCCCCCGGGUCGAUACUGACGCUCAUGCACGAAAGCGUGGGGAGCAAACAGGAUUAGAUACCCCGGUAGUCCACGCCCCAAACGAUGUCAACUAGGUGUUGGGGGAGGAGACUCUCUCAGUACCGCAGCUAACGCGUGAAGUGACCGCCU
Molecule: ribosomal RNA, 545 nt
Filed under: uncultured bacterium
Lineage: Bacteria
Description: bacterial SSU rRNA
Rfam family: Bacterial small subunit ribosomal RNA
Source: RNAcentral